GAGGAAUAUUGGUCAAUGGGCGAGAGCCUGAACCAGCCAAGUCGCGUGAAGGAAGACUGCCUUAUGGUUUGUAAACUUCUUUUAUCCAGGAAAAAAAAGGCUUCGGUUUAGGCCAUUGCAAGUACUGUAUGAAUAGGCAUCGGCAACCUCCGUGCCAGCAGCCGCGGUAAUACGGAGGAUGCGAGCGUUAUCCGGAUUUAUUGGGUUUAAAGGGUGCGCAGGCGGGCUUUUAAGUCAGCGGUGAAAUCUGGACGCUUAACGUCCAAACUGCCGUUGAAACUGGGAGUCUUGAGUAUGGAUGAAGUAGGCGGAAUUCGUUGUGUAGCGGUGACAUGCAUAGAUAUAACGAGGAACUCCGAUUGCGUAGGCAGCUUACUAAGCCAUAACUGACGCUCAUGCACGAAAGCGUGGGGAUCAAACA
This 421-nucleotide ribosomal RNA is filed under the name uncultured Dysgonomonas sp. RNAcentral's name for it is "bacterial SSU rRNA". It matches the Rfam family "Bacterial small subunit ribosomal RNA", at positions 356 to 774 of the family's 1533-position model. The record is from RNAcentral. Lineage: Bacteria; Pseudomonadati; Bacteroidota; Bacteroidia; Bacteroidales; Dysgonomonadaceae.